Molecule: ribosomal RNA, 497 nt
Filed under: uncultured bacterium
Lineage: Bacteria
Description: partial 16S ribosomal RNA
Rfam family: Bacterial small subunit ribosomal RNA
Source: RNAcentral
GAUGAACGCUGGCGGCGUGCCUAAUACAUGCAAGUCGAGCGAACAGACGAGGAGCUUGCUCCUCUGACGUUAGCGGCGGACGGGUGAGUAACACGUGGAUAACCUACCUAUAAGACUGGGAUAACUUCGGGAAACCGGAGCUAAUACCGGAUAAUAUAUUGAACCGCAUGGUUCAAUAGUGAAAGACGGUUUUGCUGUCACUUAUAGAUGGAUCCGCGCCGCAUUAGCUAGUUGGUAAGGUAACGGCUUACCAAGGCAACGAUGCGUAGCCGACCUGAGAGGGUGAUCGGCCACACUGGAACUGAGACACGGUCCAGACUCCUACGGGAGGCAGCAGUAGGGAAUCUUCCGCAAUGGGCGAAAGCCUGACGGAGCAACGCCGCGUGAGUGAUGAAGGUCUUCGGAUCGUAAAACUCUGUUAUUAGGGAAGAACAAAUGUGUAAGUAACUAUGCACGUCUUGCCGGUACCUAAUCAGAAAGCCACGGCUAACUACGUG